Molecule: RNase P RNA, 459 nt
Filed under: Candidatus Uhrbacteria bacterium
Lineage: Bacteria; Candidatus Uhriibacteriota
Description: RNase P RNA component class A
Rfam family: Bacterial RNase P class A
About the family: Ribonuclease P (RNase P) is a ubiquitous endoribonuclease, found in archaea, bacteria and eukarya as well as chloroplasts and mitochondria. Its best characterised activity is the generation of mature 5'-ends of tRNAs by cleaving the 5'-leader elements of precursor-tRNAs. Cellular RNase Ps are ribonucleoproteins.
Source: RNAcentral
UCAGGAAACAAGACAAUCGCGUUGAAUCUUAACUCUAGGGUUAAUUCAGCGAGGAAAGUCCGAACACCGCAUGCACGGUAACGUGUAUGUAAAAAAGAGUGUUGCUAACGGCAACCAGGAGAAGAAUGGCUUGAGAAAUGGGAUCUAUUUCUUGAAUCAUCUGAAUCCUAGGGAAAGUGUCACAGAGACAAUACUAGCCCCCACACCUAUUUUAAUGACUACAUGAUUUGUCAUAAAAAUAGGUGUGGGGGUGAAACGUGAAAAGUUCGAUGAUGUCAUAGAGGACAGUCCCCUAUUGGCUACAUCGUUCGCUCCAUGGCAACAUGGAUGCGUGGUAAACCCACUCUGGUGCAAGAGCAAAUUUGGUAGCUCGCUUGACCCUAAGAGCAAUCUAAGGGCUAGAUAAAUGAUUGUCACCCGCAAGGGUUACAGAAUUCGGCUUAUUCGUUUCCUGAACAU